RNAcentral lists this ribosomal RNA (465 nucleotides) under uncultured bacterium. RNAcentral describes it as "partial 16S ribosomal RNA". It matches the Rfam family "Bacterial small subunit ribosomal RNA", at positions 28 to 507 of the family's 1533-position model. The record is from RNAcentral.
GAUGAACGCUGGCGGCGUGCUUAACACAUGCAAGUCGAGCGGAAAGGCGCCGGCUUUCAGGGGUACUCGAGUGGCGAACGGGUGAGUAACACGUGGAGGAACUGCCCUGCACUUCGGGAUAAACCUGGGGAACUGGGGCGAAAACCGGGGAGGACAUUUGUUUGGAUACGAUUGUGGAAAGAUUUUCGGUGUGGGUUGAGCUCGCGGCCUAUGAGCUUGUUCGUGGGGUAAUGGCCUACCAAGGCGUCGACGGGUAGCCGGCCGGGGAGGGUGUACGGCCACAAUGCGCCUGAGAUACGGCCCAGACUCCUACGGGAGGCAGCAGUGGGGAAUAUUGCGCAAUGGGCGCAAGCCUGAUGCAGCGACGCCGCGUGGGUGAUGACGGCCUUCGGGUUGUAAACUCCUUUCGCUAGAGACGAAGCGCAAGUGACGGUACCUGGAGAAGAAGCCCCGGCUAACUACGUG